UACGGGAGGCAGCAGUGGGGAAUAUUGCACAAUGGGCGCAAGCCUGAUGCAGCCAUGCCGCGUGUAUGAAGAAGGCCUUCGGGUUGUAAAGUACUUUCAGUCGUGAGGAAGGUGUUAAGGUUAAUAACCUUAGCAAUUGACGUUAGCGACAGAAGAAGCACCAGCUAACUCCGUGCCAGCAGCCGCGGUAAUACGGAGGGUGCGAGCGUUAAUCGGAAUUACUGGGCGUAAAGGGCACGCAGGCGGUUAAUUAAGUUGGAUGUGAAAUCCCCGGGCUUAACCUGGGAAUGGCAUUCAAGACUGGUUAGCUAGAGUCUUGUAGAGGGGGUAGAAUUCCAUGUGUAGCGGUGAAAUGCGUAGAGAUGUGGAGGAAUACCGGUGGCGAAGGCGGCCCCUGGGACAAAGACUGACGCUCAUGUGCGAAAGCGUGGGGAGCAAACAGGAUUAGAUACC
RNAcentral lists this ribosomal RNA (453 nucleotides) under uncultured bacterium. Its description in RNAcentral is "bacterial SSU rRNA". It matches the Rfam family "Bacterial small subunit ribosomal RNA", at positions 340 to 786 of the family's 1533-position model. The record is from RNAcentral.